RNAcentral lists this ribosomal RNA (301 nucleotides) under uncultured bacterium. Its description in RNAcentral is "partial 16S ribosomal RNA". It matches the Rfam family "Bacterial small subunit ribosomal RNA", at positions 509 to 807 of the family's 1533-position model. The record is from RNAcentral.
CAGUCGCCGCGGUAAUACGAAGGGGGCCAGCGUUGCUCGGAAUGACUGGGCGUAAAGGGCGCGUAGGCGGCAUACACAGUCAGAUGUGAAAUUCCUGGGCUUAACCUGGGGGCUGCAUUUGAUACGUGUGGGCUAGAGUGUGGAAGAGGGUCGUGGAAUUCCCAGUGUAGAGGUGAAAUUCGUAGGUAUUGGGAAGAACACCGGUGGCGAAGGCGGCGACCUGGUCUUUUACUGACGCUGAGGCGCGAAAGCGUGGGGAGCAAACAGGAUUAGAUACCCCGGUAGUCCCUGUCUCUUAUAC